UGCUCACACUCCAGGGCACAAGGCUGCUUGACAUCGAGGCAUUCCCAAGGGCCAUGGGAUGAGAACCUAGAAGCUAAAUGGAAAAUUCAUUCCUUUGCUAAGUGGAACAACAUGAAGAAAGACGGGGAUGCAAAGGAUUACAGACACGUGCAAGACAGGCC
This 161-nucleotide long non-coding RNA is filed under the name Fukomys damarensis (Damara mole-rat). RNAcentral describes it as "lncRNA (ENSFDAG00000027359.1)". Lineage: Eukaryota; Metazoa; Chordata; Mammalia; Rodentia; Bathyergidae. The record is from RNAcentral.